This 484-nucleotide ribosomal RNA is filed under the name uncultured bacterium. RNAcentral's name for it is "partial 16S ribosomal RNA". It matches the Rfam family "Bacterial small subunit ribosomal RNA", at positions 30 to 507 of the family's 1533-position model. The record is from RNAcentral.
AUUGAACGCUGGCGGCAGGCCUAACACGUGCAAGUCGAGCGGAUGAAGGGAGCUUGCUCCUGGAUUCAGCGGCGGACGGGUGAGUAAUGCCUAGGAAUCUGCCUGGUAGUGGGGGAUAACGUCCGGAAACGGGCGCUAAUACCGCAUACGUCCUGAGGGAGAAAGUGGGGGAUCUUCGGACCUCACGCUAUCAGAUGAGCCUAGGUCGGAUUAGCUGGUUGGUGGGGUAAAGGCCUACCAAGGCGACGAUCCGUAACUGGUCUGAGAGGAUGAUCAGUCACACUGGAACUGAGACACGGUCCAGACUCCUACGGGAGGCAGCAGUGGGGAAUAUUGGACAAUGGGCGAAAGCCUGAUCCAGCCAUGCCGCGUGUGUGAAGAAGGUCUUCGGAUUGUAAAGCACUUUAAGUUGGGAGGAAGGGCAGUAAGUUAAUACCUUGCUGUUUUGACGUUACCAACAGAAUAAGCACCGGCUAACUUCGUG